Molecule: small RNA, 1242 nt
Filed under: Pan troglodytes (chimpanzee)
Lineage: Eukaryota; Metazoa; Chordata; Mammalia; Primates; Hominidae
Description: retained intron
Source: RNAcentral
AAUAGGAGGUGGAAUUCAGAGCAUCACCUACACCCACAACGGAGACAUCAGCCGAAAGCCCAACACACGUAAGCAGAAGAACGGCUUCCCGCCCAACUUCAUCCACUCGCUGGACUCCUCCCACAUGAUGCUCACCGCCCUGCACUGCUACAGGUGGGUGUCUCCGGACGGCGUGGGUGCCGCUCGCCUCCCAGGGGCGUCUUCUGGCUAGCAGGGCACAGCUGGCAAGGCUGGGUCUAGCAGGGGACAGUGCUGGGGGCAGGGACUGGGCAGAGUGGAUCUGCUGUGUCUGUGGGGCCUGUGCAGAGGCCCUGAGGCUGUGUGCCCCAAAUGUAGGUGGUCCUGGCAGCUCCCCUCCUGUGGCCUGACAGGGAGAGCCGAGCACGGGCGCUGCCCCUUCCUGCUGGGCAUUUCUUGGCACCGCGACGUGUGGUUAGAUCUGUAGCACGUGGAGGCCGUUCCAGCAGAAUCUACUGGCCACGGGAGCUGGGAACGCUCAGGAUGCGGGGCGGUGGCCCUGGCAGGAGGGGACAGCGUAGCCGCCCUCGGAGCGGAGGCUCCACAGCAGCGCGGGGGGCGGCAGGUGUGGGGCGAGGAGGCUUCUGGGAACAUUUCCUCCCCCUGUGCUGAUGCCUAACCCAGGAUGUUUGGGGAGGGGUGAGGCGAGGGGUGGGGCGAGGCCUGCAGGAGGGUGGGCUUCCCUGGACCUCAAGUGGAGGGGGCUGAGCACAGGGCCAGGAUGCUGGUCACCGGGUGGCCCUGUGAGCUCCCCUCCCUUCAGGAGCACUCCGCUCUGCCACAGGAAGGGCCUGACCUUCGUCUCUGUGCACGACUGUUACUGGACCCACGCAGCUGAUGUCUCCGUCAUGAACCAGGUGCCCCCAUAGUCUGAGCCUCAGUCCACCCAUGGGUGGGGCCCCCACACUGGGGCGUUGGGUAGGGGUGGUGCCCAGAGCCUGCCUGAUCACCCCUGGGGAUCCUCUGACUCCUGCCCAGGUGUGCCGGGAGCAGUUUGUCCGCUUGCACAGCGAGCCCAUCCUGCAGGACCUGUCCAGGUUCCUGGUCAAGCGGUUCUGCUCUGAGCCCCAGAAGAUCUUGGAGGCCAGCCAGCUGAAGGAGACACUGCAGGCGGUGCCCAAGCCAGGGGCCUUCGAUCUGGAGCAGGUGAAGCGUUCCACCUACUUUUUCAGCUGACACCCCGUGAGCCUUGUGUCAGUGUGUAAAUAAAGCUCUUUUGCCACC